This 1275-nucleotide long non-coding RNA is filed under the name Anser brachyrhynchus (Pink-footed goose). RNAcentral's name for it is "lncRNA (ENSABRG00000019159.1)". The record is from RNAcentral. Lineage: Eukaryota; Metazoa; Chordata; Aves; Anseriformes; Anatidae.
AUGCACACGUCCUGCCAGAAGUUACGUGGGUGCUGCUGGGCUCCGUGGAAGCAAGCACUGCUGCUGAUCAUCAGCAGGGAACCAAGGCAGCCGUGGUGGCUGCAGCAUUUGGCGGCCACAUCUUUGUGGUCUCUUAAUUCAUUCCCCUGCUGUUCCGCUUUCAAAAAAAUUGUGUUUUUUUUUUUUUCUUUAGAGCUUUGCCGUUGGUGUCGGCUGUUUUCUGAGGCAGCAGAGAACGAGGCAAGGCUGCUCUUCAAAUAUCGAUGCCGUUGCUCAGGGAGCCCCGGCAACAUCAGCGCCGUCAGCUCAGCGGGUGUUUUACCGGGGGGCGCGGUUGGCCCCGGACACACGGGUCUUCGGAUGGAGACGUUGCCCUCCAAGCUGUGGCCUCUUUCUGGCCCUUGCGAUAAAGAGGAAGAAACCUGGCGGGGCUGCGCCCUGCCUGCAGCGGGAGCUGCCUGCUGCCAGCCCGCGCUCCGCAGCCGACGGCUCGGGUUAUUGCCCGGCUGGAGAUCAGCAUUAACAUCGCUGCUCGUCUCGGGGACUAGAGGCCCGGCAAAACCGACCGGCGCAGGAGGAUGGCCUCGGAGCCUCGGGGGGACGAGCCCCGGGGGGCCGGCCGGCGAGCGCGGCGUGCCGCGGGGACGAGGCGAGGCGCGGGCGGCCGGGACGGAGCCAGCGGGCGCCCGGUGCUCGGCGGGGCCGCCCCGGGGCCCCCCGCACCCGACGGUGUGCGUGUGGCGGGCGAGCCAGGCCGGGCCGCCGGCAAAGGCAGCGGGCGGCGGCCGGUUUCGAGCCCCGCGGAGCCCCCCCCGCUCCCGGCGCCCAGCGGGUUUGGGCACCGCCGCAGACCCCGAGGGCGGGCGGCCCCGCCUGCUUAAUUUUCGGGCUGCUAACGGGGUGUGUGUGUGUGUGUGGGGGGGGAUGAGCGCACCCUCCCCUUCCUCAGGCCACCCCCAGAGCUCUCGGGGAGCCGCCCGGCGCCUCCAGGCGCGCACCGGGAGGGCCCCGCGGGCAGCGGCCCCGCACCCCCCGCCUCUGCCGGCGGCCCCCCCGCCUUCCCCCCGCCCCUUCCCUCCCUCCGCCCCGCAGCCCAGCCCGGCUCUGUGCGCAAGCGUGCCCGGGGCCCCCCCCGCAGCCCGGCCCCGGCUUAACUCCGCUCCCCCCCCGCCCUGCCCGCUGCGGAGCCCGGCACCCCCCGGCCGCCCCAUGGUGAGUCUGCGGCGGGGGGCGUUGGGGUCGGGGGGGGCACGCGCUGGGGCUGGGGGGGGCUGA